RNAcentral lists this unclassified non-coding RNA (1062 nucleotides) under Hevea brasiliensis (rubber tree). The record is from RNAcentral. Lineage: Eukaryota; Viridiplantae; Streptophyta; Magnoliopsida; Malpighiales; Euphorbiaceae.
UAUACAGCUGCCUGUCGAACAUCAGGAUUUUCAUCAUUGCAUGCCUCUAACAGGAAAGGAAGAAAUGUAUCGUAGUAUUUAAGUGCUGCCUCACGACAUUGCUCUGCAACAUCAUCAAAAAUGCAAAUUGCAAUCCUUCUCUCCUCAGCAGUCUUAUCUUUGCCCCACAUUGGAGUUAGAUAGGUUGAUAGCUCAUCAAAAAAAGGCAAGAAAGCAGCUUUAAAUGUUUUUAUCAAUGUCCCCAAGAUUUCACCCACUUGGUCAAAAACUUCCUCCUCCUGCUCAUUUUCCUCUUUUAUCAACUCUCCCUCCUCAGCAUCAAAGUCUUCAGCUUUGGCUCUCUCUGCUCCUCUCUCUUUUCCUACUAGAACUAGCUGUGAUCACCUGUUUUAUCUCAUCUACGAUGGAUCUCACUUGACCUUCAUCAACAAGUGGUCCAGAUAUCUGUAAGCAUUCAUUUACUGCAUCCAACAUACUAGCACAAAUUUCGGUAUCAGGUUCCUUGUGUAAUGCUUCCACCAAAGCUGGAAUAAUGUAGUCAGACAACUGCUUUACAUAGGACUCAUUGCGACCUUGAGACACUCCCUUCUCUACAGCUAAUUUGGCAGAACGCAGCAGCUCUGGCAUGGCUGAAACAGCUGCUUUCCUAACUUCUUCAUGGAAAUAAAAUUUCAGAAGAGGAACCAGAGUUGGAGCAACCUGAUCAAUCCAUGGAAAGAAGCCUUCCUUAAGCUCAUCCGCAUAGCAACAUAACAUGUUACAUGCAGUUGCUUUUUCUUCCAGGACACUAGUCUUGAUCCCUAUUCUUUUGUCCCCAAGGGUGAUAGUCUCCAUACUUUCAUCAUCUGAAUCAUCAAUAUCAUUAUCUGAAUCAGCAGAUGUAAUGGUUACAUCUGGCUUGAGUUGAGCAGACUGAAGCAAAGGCGGCAUGACAACCGUCAUAUACGGAAGAAAAUCUUGUCCCAAACACUUGCAAAGUCUAGCCCAUGCUUGUAACAUGUAACUUGUCGUUGGAUCAUCUGUCUCCAUUUGAGAUCCUUGCAAAGACAUAAGGACUUCCAU